This 261-nucleotide ribosomal RNA is filed under the name uncultured bacterium. RNAcentral's name for it is "partial 16S ribosomal RNA". It matches the Rfam family "Bacterial small subunit ribosomal RNA", at positions 524 to 785 of the family's 1533-position model. The record is from RNAcentral.
UACAGGGGGUGCAAGCGUUGCUCGGAAUUACUGGGCGUAAAGCGUGCGCAGGCGGUCCAGCAAGUCGGGGGUGAAAACCCGGGGCUCAACCCGGAAUUGCCUCCGAACCUGCUGGACUUGAAUACGAGAGAGGGUCGCGGAAUUCUUGGUGUAGAGGUGAAAUUCGUAGAUAUCAGGAAGAACACCAGUGGCGAAAGCGGCGACCUGGCUCGAUAUUGACGCUCAUGCACGAAAGCGUGGGGAGCAAACAGGAUUAGAACU